AGUACAGUGUUCUGCCCUGACACAGCCAAGGCCAAGGGCAGUGCAGGCACAGCCACCGUGACUCUCUGCUGGGAGGUUAACAGCUCCAUCAGUUCAGGGACUGCCUGACCCAGCCUGACCAAAUUAGAGCAAGAGAAAGAAUUGUGCCAUGAAAAAUGGAAAACUCCUGAGAAGCUGUUCCAGCGUCAGGAGAGCAGCAGACAAGCUGGACUGGGGAAGAUUCUUCCUGCAAGACCUGCAGAGUGUAUGACACAUAACCAGCACCCAAGAAAUGUCUACCGAGGAAUUAAUGAAUGAGGGUCCCAUACUUCCUAGCCAUGCUGUUGGCAGGGAUUAACAUCAUUGCAAUUCUCUGGGUAGACCUUGGGAGGUUUAAACCAACCAGUGACCCCUAUCAUCCUAGCUCCAGAGAUUGGCUUAGGGAUAGUCACCCAAUGCAGGCCAAUGCAAGGUGACUUUGCCAGGGGCUUCUGGGAAAGAAGUUUCCUUUCUCUGAGGAAAUGUGAAUGAGGACAUCCAUAACUCAGGUUGUGUCUGGCAGCCAUCUUGUGAUCAUCUGGCAAGACAGCCCAAGAAUAAAGCCGUCACCAUGGAGACUAAGAAGAGACAGAAAGACACUGGGUCUUCAUUGUCUCGUCCAGCUGUUCAUGAGGCCUUAUCUGAAGCCCACGUGACCUCCGGACUACUCACUUACAUGAGAGAAUAAAGCUCUUUUUUGUUUAGACCAAAUAAAUACAUAAUACAAUUACAUAAUCCCUUGAUUCCUUUUUAUGACUGAGCUCAGAGACUAUAUUUUGUCAUUUUAAAUCACCUUUGUCUUACAGUUUAUUUAACUGAAACAAAUAAACAAACCAAAACACGCCAGUUUUUCACUCCUCUGUCAAAGCCUUUCCAAGAUCACUAAGCUUGUGAUGUCCUGGGUGAAUGAAGAAGUAACAGUGUUUUCAACAACAUAGAAGCUUAUUUCUCUCUCAUAUAAAAGAAGGCUGGAGUCUGGCUGGUAUGGGAGAUACAGCAUCAUCAAAGUUUUAUCUUUUCGUCCUGCCAUCCUUAGAAUAUGGCUUUCAUCUUCAAGAUCACUUCCUAAGCUAUGAGGAUGCAAAGGUAUAAGAAUGACAUAGCGGACUUUGGGGACUCGGUGUGGGGAGAAGUUGGGAGGGGUGAGGGAUAAGAGACUACAUAUUGGGUACAGUGUACACUGCUCUAAAAUCUCAGAAAUCACCACCAAAGAACCUAUCCGUGGAAUCAAAAACCACCUAUACCCCCAAAACCACUGAAAUAAAACUAAAAAUUAAUUAAAAAAAAAA
Molecule: long non-coding RNA, 1307 nt
Filed under: Homo sapiens (human)
Lineage: Eukaryota; Metazoa; Chordata; Mammalia; Primates; Hominidae
Description: non-protein coding LINC01588:45
Source: RNAcentral